This 858-nucleotide ribosomal RNA is filed under the name Klebsiella pneumoniae. Its description in RNAcentral is "partial 23S ribosomal RNA". It matches the Rfam family "Bacterial large subunit ribosomal RNA", at positions 398 to 1258 of the family's 2925-position model. The record is from RNAcentral. Lineage: Bacteria; Pseudomonadati; Pseudomonadota; Gammaproteobacteria; Enterobacterales; Enterobacteriaceae. RNAcentral also lists the same sequence under 2 other names.
UGUGAACUCGAAGAGUAGGGCGGGACACGUGGUAUCCUGUCUGAAUAUGGGGGGACCAUCCUCCAAGGCUAAAUACUCCUGACUGACCGAUAGUGAACCAGUACCGUGAGGGAAAGGCGAAAAGAACCCCGGCGAGGGGAGUGAAAAAGAACCUGAAACCGUGUACGUACAAGCAGUGGGAGCACCUUCGGGUGUGACUGCGUACCUUUUGUAUAAUGGGUCAGCGACUUAUAUUCUGUAGCAAGGUUAACCGUAUAGGGGAGCCGCAGGGAAACCGAGUCUUAACUGGGCGUUAAGUUGCAGGGUAUAGACCCGAAACCCGGUGAUCUAGCCAUGGGCAGGUUGAAGGUUGGGUAACACUAACUGGAGGACCGAACCGACUAAUGUUGAAAAAUUAGCGGAUGACUUGUGGCUGGGGGUGAAAGGCCAAUCAAACCGGGAGAUAGCUGGUUCUCCCCGAAAGCUAUUUAGGUAGCGCCUCGUGAACUCAUCUUCGGGGGUAGAGCACUGUUUCGGCUAGGGGGUCAUCCCGACUUACCAACCCGAUGCAAACUACGAAUACCGAAGAAUGUUAUCACGGGAGACACACGGCGGGUGCUAACGUCCGUCGUGAAGAGGGAAACAACCCAGACCGCCAGCUAAGGUCCCAAAGUCAUGGUUAAGUGGGAAACGAUGUGGGAAGGCACAGACAGCCAGGAUGUUGGCUUAGAAGCAGCCAUCAUUUAAAGAAAGCGUAAUAGCUCACUGGUCGAGUCGGCCUGCGCGGAAGAUGUAACGGGGCUAAACCAUGCACCGAAGCUGCGGCAGCGACACGAUGUGUUGUUGGGUAGGGGAGCGUUCUGUAAGCCUGCGAAGGUG